This 73-nucleotide transfer RNA is filed under the name Paraflavisolibacter caeni. It matches the Rfam family "tRNA". Rfam says of the family: Transfer RNA (tRNA) molecules are approximately 80 nucleotides in length. Their secondary structure includes four short double-helical elements and three loops (D, anti-codon, and T loops). The record is from Rfam by way of RNAcentral. Lineage: Bacteria; Pseudomonadati; Bacteroidota; Chitinophagia; Chitinophagales; Chitinophagaceae.
GCCAUCUUAGCUCAGUUGGUAGAGCGGUUCAUUCGUAAUGAACAGGUCGCGGGUUCGAUUCCCACAGAUGGCU